RNAcentral lists this ribosomal RNA (497 nucleotides) under uncultured bacterium. Its description in RNAcentral is "partial 16S ribosomal RNA". It matches the Rfam family "Bacterial small subunit ribosomal RNA", at positions 28 to 507 of the family's 1533-position model. The record is from RNAcentral.
GACGAACGCUGGCGGCGUGCUUAACACAUGCAAGUCGAACGGUGAAGCGCCUUCCUUUCUGGUGGGUGUGGAGGAGUGGCGGACGGGUGAGUAACACGUGAGUAACCUGCUCCCUUCUUCUGGAUAACCGCAAGAAAGUGUGGCUAAUACGGGAUAUUCUGGGUCGGUCGCAUGAUUGGUCUGGGACAGAUAUUGUUUCGGUGGGGGAUGGGCUCGCGGCCUAUUAGCUUGUUGGUGGGGUGAUGGCCUACCAAGGCGGCGAUGCGUAGCCGGCCUGAGAGGGGGGUCGACGGCAACACUGGGACGGCGCGACGGAGACUACUCCGGCGGGCGGCAGCAGUGAAGAUUAUGGCACGAUGGGGGGAAGGCUGGUGCAGCGCCGCCGCGUGGAGGAUGGAGGCCGGAGGGUUGUGAACCUCUUUCGGGAGAGAAGCAAGCCUUCCUUGUCUGUGCGUGUGUUGACGGUAGCUGAACAGGAAGCGCCGGCUAACUACGUG